Molecule: long non-coding RNA, 501 nt
Organism: Struthio camelus australis
Lineage: Eukaryota; Metazoa; Chordata; Aves; Struthioniformes; Struthionidae
Source: RefSeq, a predicted model, not a curated record
CUUCAGUGCUAUUCCAGACAAGGAUGUAAUUCUUCCCAGCAUAUAACAGAUGACAGUGUGGUUUACAGUUUCACUUACCAGCCCUCUGAUUUGGUUGAAGUGACACCUCGAUCUGAUCCAGCAAUUGAGUCUUCACACCAUGCCCCUGGGCAUAUGAUACACGUGUAAGAAAAAAGCAGGAGGAGGAAAUGAAAAGAAUGUCCUGUAAAGUGAACAUGAAAAUACGUUGAAAAGAAACUCUGGAGAGAGCUAGUGAACAGUAUAAGGCAAGCAUAGUAACUGAAAAGUGUGUGAUUCUAUGGCUCUGCUGGUACGUAUUCUCAGCCUGUAGAACCCUCUUCCUGGGAUGGCCUGGUGCAUGCCAUCAAGCAUUCUUACAGCUAACCUUCAGCGUGAGUUUAUGUGAGGGCCAACAGAGCUGCACACAAAGGCUGGAAAAGAAUUUGAGAGAGAAGUUUCGUGGAAGUGACUGUGUUGGAGUUAUCAUUGGUUAUUUGGAAG